CGGCCGCCGCGCGUCGAGCACCAUGGCCGCCGCCGCGCCCGACGACGCCAAGCUAGACUCCUUCCUCCAAUGGCUCCAGGCCAACGGCGCCGACCCCCGCGGCUGCUCGAUCCGCCGCUGCCGCCACGAGGGGUCUGGGGUGUUCUCCACCGCCGCCGAGGAUGGCGCCACCGACGAGGUGGUGAUGGUGGUGCCGCUCGAUCUCGUCAUCACUCCGAUGCGGGUGCUGCAGGACCCCCUCGUCGGGCCGCGGUGCCGCGCGCUCUUCGAGGAAGGUGGCGUUGAUGACCGCCUCCUCGUCAUGCUCUUCCUCAUGGUCGAGCGGCUCCGACCUAGCUCCCUCUGGAAGCCGUAUCUCGAUAUGCUUCCAAGCACCUUCGGGAGUUCCAUUUGGUUCACGGAAGACGAGCUUGCUGAGUUGGAAGGGACGACACUGCACCGUGCUACCAUGAUGCAGAGGAAGUCAUUGCAAACCUUAUUCGAUAAUAAGGUUAAAGGUCUGGUUGGGGAGCUCUUAAAUGUCGAUGAAUCAGGAAGCUCAAUUGAAGCACGGUUUGAAGACUUCCUUUGGGUCCUUGGCAUAGUUGUGGGUUCACUUCCCUGCUUUCUCUUUUUAUGUUACUCAGCAGCACGACUCUAUGGCAGGGCAAACUCAAUAUUCUGGACUCGAGCAUUGAACAUACCAUUGCCUCGCUCUUUUGUUUUUUCGGAAUCACUAGACGGGAAACAGACCAAAACUGGUGAUGAUUCAAGUCUCAGUGCCCGUCAGGGAACUGGCAUUACAGCUAAGAAUAGCAGUGAUGAUGAUAAUCCUAAAUCUAGUAAUACAGAGUCAAUUUGGGUUGAGGGCCUUGUCCCCGGAAUCGACUUUUGUAAUCAUAAUGUAAAGGCGCUGGCAACAUGGGAAAUUGAUUCUGCAGGAGAUGUUACUGGAAUUCCUUCUUCAAUGUACCUUGUACUAGCUGAUAAAAGCUUUGUUAAGGCUGGAACAGAGAUAUGCAUAAAUUAUGGCAACAAAGGAAAUGAGGAACUACUAUACCUCUAUGGAUUUGUAAUUGAUAACAAUCUUGACGAUUAUCUCAUGGUUAAUUAUCCAGUGGAAGCUCUUAGAGAGGUCCAAUCUGCUGGUAUUAAGAUGAAGCUACUGGAGAUACAGAAUGCCGAAUUGCGAUGUCUUUUACCUCGGAGUUUGCUUGAUAACGGAUUUUUUGGUAGCUGUUCUGGUGAAAACAAGGAUAACAAAAAUCAUGCAAGCCUUUUGUCUAGUUAUAGCUGGAGUGGUCAACGCAAAGUUCCAUCAUAUAUCCAGAAAGUUGUUUUCCCUGAGGAAUUUAUAAGCACACUACGUACAAUUGCUCUGCAAGAACAUGAGCUUGAGCUUGCUGCUUCAUUGCUGGGAGAGAUUGGAUCUAAUGAAGAUAGAGAACCUUCCAGUGAAGAGGUCUGCAGUGCCAUAUGGGAGGUCAGCGGUGAUAAUGGAGCACUUAGUUUGCUUGUAGAUCUUCUUAGAGUCAAAAUAACUGAACUUGAAGAGGGCACUGGAACUGAAGCAUCUGACAGCCAACUACUUGACAAAUUCGAUCUCAGUGAUUCAGAAGACCCAUCGAGAAGUGAUGGGAGCAACCAGACCAAGUCAAAAAUAAAUAUCAGGUCGUGUAUCGUGUACCGCAGAGGCCAAAAGCAGCUGACAAAGUUAUUCCUCAGGGAGGCAGAACAUCUUCUGGAGCUGUCGUCAAAAGAAGAGACCUAAGAAAGUACUUACCGGAGUAACGGGCUUCAUCCUCUCCUAGCCUCGUCGAUGAUCGAUCAGGGAAGUGGACAGUGGCGGGGCACAGCCGAUGAGGCUCGUCUGACGGGCAAUCGAAGGACGUUCUUAUCACUAACGCGUGAGCCUGAUGGAUCUAUAAUAUGCCAAUGCUCCACGUCACUCUGAAUUGUCGGAGGAAAGGAACUACUACUCUGUUCCACUCAAAUCCUAAUGCACCUUUAGUAGUUGUACCAAAAUAUUAAGAUGUUUUUUAUUCAUAUAUAUAAGAAGUUAUUACCCGACUCCGUUCAAAAAUAUAAAUUAUUUUUAGAUUGUUUAGCAGAGAUAAGGUUGAGAAUACUACAAUGUUCUCCAUAAAUAAAGAAUGGAUGGAGUCACGAGGAUGGGAUAAGAUUGAAAGAAUUUUGAACGUGAAGUAUUUUGAGGAA
RNA transcript from Oryza brachyantha (malo sina), 2196 nucleotides. It is a transcript of the gene named actin-histidine N-methyltransferase, with no coding region annotated. The record is from RefSeq and is a predicted model, not a curated record. The transcript is spliced from 18 exons. NCBI's taxonomy places the organism in Eukaryota, Viridiplantae, Streptophyta, Magnoliopsida, Poales, Poaceae.